Molecule: ribosomal RNA, 264 nt
Filed under: Triticum aestivum (bread wheat)
Lineage: Eukaryota; Viridiplantae; Streptophyta; Magnoliopsida; Poales; Poaceae
Description: partial small subunit ribosomal RNA
Source: RNAcentral
GGUGACUUCAAUGAAAUACUGCAUGCUCAUGAGAAAGAAGGGGGGGCUGCACGCCCCCAACGCUGUAUGCAGGCCUUUAGCAGUGCAUUAAGUGACUGCGGGCUUGAUGAUCUUGGUUACUCUGGAGAUAUUUUUACUUGGCGAAGAGGACGCAUAAGAGAGCGCUUGGACAGGGCUGUCUCGAGUGGCACGUGGGCAGACUUGUUUCCAUCUUAUGGUGUGUCGAACGAGCCUUUUAACAAGUCGGAUCACCGACCAAUUUUG